This 260-nucleotide long non-coding RNA is filed under the name Manihot esculenta (cassava). RNAcentral describes it as "long non-coding RNA (MESC_LNC009436)". Lineage: Eukaryota; Viridiplantae; Streptophyta; Magnoliopsida; Malpighiales; Euphorbiaceae. The record is from RNAcentral.
CCCUUUAUAGGCGGCUGGCCAGGCCACAUUCGGGAGCCGAACGUGCCUCCGCAACGCAUGCAAGUUCGGCGGCCGAACCUGGACUUCCCUCACUUAUGCCUUCGGGGGCCUAAGGCUCUCCCGAAGUGCAUGCAUGUUCGGCGGCCGAACUUGAGGUUCGGCGGCCGAACCUGGGUCUUCCUCCAAGAUUAUUUUCAUGCAAAAACUCAUUUCCUUUUUACUUAAAACCCUGAAAUACAUUAAAACAUUUUAUAAAAACA